Molecule: small RNA, 587 nt
Filed under: Oryza sativa Japonica Group (Japanese rice)
Lineage: Eukaryota; Viridiplantae; Streptophyta; Magnoliopsida; Poales; Poaceae
Description: misc RNA Os10g0432300
Source: RNAcentral
ACGACCAAACCCUAACCCGCGAUCCGCCUCCGCCGCCGCCACCACCACCACCCACCCGGAUCCCCACCUCCCUCCCCGAUCUCACCACCUCCGUAUAAAGGCGGCUCGGUUUGAAAAAUCUUUGCCUCCGGAGGAGGAGGGGGGGAUGGCUGCCGCGGCGGUGGAUCCGAUGGCGCUGGGGCUGGGGACGAGCGGAGGAGGAGGAGGAGGCGAGUCGGCGGUGGGGGGUGAUGGGGCGGAGCCGGUGGAUCUCGUCGAGCACCCCUCCGGGAUCGUCCCCACCCUCCAGUGAGUCCCCCCCGCCACCCCCGCGUCGCAGGCUUGACGAGAACGAUGGGGGUUGUUCUUGGAUGAUCUGGAUCUGGGAUAUCUGAAUGUGGGAUGUGAACUUGACGGGGCUUGUGGAUCUUGAUGGGUUUGGGGUGGUGGUGGUGGUGGGGAGUAACAGCUAAACUUGACGGGGAUUUUGUAGAUCUGGACUUGCACGGGUUAGGGUUGGGGGAAACCUGCGGGUUCUUGAUCUGAUACGAUCUUGCAUUGGUUUGGAGGAGUGCGAGUUUAUCUGAUGUGGAGGCCGAUUCGUGCUC